GUCAGCAUGGCAUAGUGGUUUCAGCACUGAACUACAACUCUGGAAACCCGGGUUCAAUCCCCAGCUCAGCCA
Phrynosoma platyrhinos (Desert horned lizard) is the source of this 72-nucleotide non-coding RNA. The record is from the annotation of a GenBank genome assembly. NCBI's taxonomy places the organism in Eukaryota, Metazoa, Chordata, Lepidosauria, Squamata, Phrynosomatidae.